CGUGUCACCCUGAAAUGGCACAAAUAAAUAAAUAAAUACAGGGCCCUUGGGGUGGGAGAAGAGGUGGGUGAGGAGGAGGGAGGAAAAGAGGGAAAGGGGGAGUCACAGACACAGUAAAUAGUUGUCUCCAUCCCCAGCGACGUUUCUCUGGAAAUUUUUUUCUCCUUUUUUUUAAACCAGGAGCUAAAAUUUCAAGGACAAAUAGUUAAAAAUAUACAUUAUUUAUUUUUUUUCCCUUCUGUUGUCUUUUCGCUGUCUUUGAUGCCUUGUUUCUGGAGACUGCUGAGGUCAAAGUUCAAGCCACGCCAAGGGACCGCGGCUUGGGGUUCGUUCCAUUUUUUUAUUAUCGUUUUUAUAUUUUUUCGCUUUUUUCUGACGUAUAAAAAGGUAGCGGAGUUGUCUGGUUUUUUUGGGGUUUUUUUGGUUUUUGGUUUUUUUUUGGUUUUUGUUUUUGUUUUUGUUUUUUUUUAAUUGUUAAAAUCUUUGGUUUGGUUUUUGGUUUUUUCUCUUGGAGGCCUUGUCUCUCUGCACUGGGGCCGGCGGGCCCCGUGUCUCUGUCUCUCGGUCUCUCACGCUCUCUCAGUCUCUCAAGCUUUGGGCAGGAAUGUCAGGAGGGAUGGGGAUUUGGCUUCUCAGGGGGGCGGAAGGAACCAGGCCAGGGUGCCGAGUCCAGAAAGGGGGGGGGUUGUUUUUUUGGUCUAGAAUUAAAGUUUUUGUUUUGUUGUUUGUUCCUUCGUUCAUUUGUUUUCCAGCAAUUCGGAGUGUUCUCAGCAAUGCCUUCUCUCGGUUUUGUCCAUGGUUUCUUUUUCCCUUUUGUUUCUUGCGGUCUGUCAUCCCUGCCCAGGCAAGCAGCCCUUGGCCCCAUUGCCCCCCUGCCCCUUGGGGGGUCACACAUUCUCCUCCUGGUCCCAGGCCCCCUCCUGUCUCUCUGGGAAACAAAAAGGAAACGCUUGGUAGUAGGGCGAGGGCAGGGGGUCCGGCGGUGGAGAGGAGGAGUACAUUCUGCUGGGGGCAGGCAUUGAGGGGGGCCCUGCAUCCACAGCUUCUCCCCUCCUCAGGAGGAGCAGGGCCUCUGGCACUCCCUGACUGACGGAGGAGGCUUCCUGGGAUGGGCUCCCGCAGGCCAGGAAGAGGCAGAGAGGUGGCGGCAGGGGCUGGCGAGGACCGGGAGGGGAGGCAGGGAAAUCAAACCGCCAGGGCCCGGCACCCCGGACUCAAUCCAGCUCUCCUCUUGUGUCCAGCAGAAAGAGGAAGAUCCGAGUGGACGGAGGGCAUCCGGGGUCUCUCUAGUGCCCCACGAUGCAGGAAAGGGCGCGCACAUCACACCAAUGGCUCACUUCCUACCCGGCAACACUUUGGUUUGAGGAAGGAGAGAAAGAAAAGGGAAAGAGAGCGAGGAAGACCAACGGGAACCGAAAGGGGGUAUUCCGGGCUCCAAACCACUCAGAAAUGGUUUUCUUCUUCGGAGAUUUCCAUCAUGGUUUUCCGUCAUUUGUUUAAAGCUUUUUUUUCUUUUUCAGUUGAUUUGGGGCAGGGGAGGGCGUAGCAGUCAGGGAAAGGGGGCUCCCUCUGGGUCCUGGCCUUGAUGUCCUCCCAUCCUGCCCCGGCCCAUCCUUCCUGGGCGAGAAGCCGUCCCUUCCCCUCCCUCCCAACCCCCGUAGAGGUCCAUGAGGUAUUUGUGACGAGAAAGAAGUAUCUAUCCGUCCGGCCGGCCGUCCAUCCAUCCGCCGCGGAGGCUGAAGACCCUUGCCAUCGCCGGGGGGCCCUGGCUUCCCUCCCGGCUCCUCCAGUGUCUUCCUGUAAGAGUCUUGGUUCUCUUCUUCUUUCCCUUAAAUAUAUAUCUCUAUAGAUUUUUUCUAUUUUAAAGGUUUUUUUCAGUUUUAUUUUUUUGUGGUACUUUUUUUUUUUUGGUUCAAGAGGUGGCCGGCAGAGGGACAACCCUGACGGCAGCGUUCCCACAGGCCUCCGUCAUCUAGACACAUCCCAGCGCCCUCCGGGGAGCCGCGGAGAGGCCCGAUGGCCUCCCCGCCCCCGAGGCCGACCCUGAUUCUGGGAGUGGCCCUCUUGAGGUGGGGGCGGGCGAGGCGGGG
Long non-coding RNA from Monodelphis domestica (gray short-tailed opossum), 2090 nucleotides. Lineage: Eukaryota; Metazoa; Chordata; Mammalia; Didelphimorphia; Didelphidae. The record is from Ensembl.